UACAGAGGGGGCAAGCGUUGUCCGGAUUUACUGGGCGUACAGCGCGCGCAGGCGGAUGGUGACGUGCCGUGUGACAAGCCACAGCUCAACUGUGGAGGGCCAUGGUAGACGCACGGUCUGGAGGCAGGGAGAGGGAUGUGGAAUACCCGGUGGAGCGGUGAAAUGCGUAGAGAUCGGGUGGAACACCAGCGGCGAAGGCGGCAUCCUGGUCCUGACCUGACGCUGAGGCGCGAGAGCGUGGGGAGCGAACCGG
RNAcentral lists this unclassified non-coding RNA (253 nucleotides) under uncultured Kallotenuales bacterium. RNAcentral's name for it is "contains 16S-23S intergenic spacer region". It matches the Rfam family "Bacterial small subunit ribosomal RNA", at positions 524 to 776 of the family's 1533-position model. Lineage: Bacteria; Bacillati; Chloroflexota; Chloroflexia; Kallotenuales. The record is from RNAcentral.